UCUCAACCUCAUCCCUUUAAAAUGAAGUCCUGAAGAAGAAAAAUCUCAGAUGAACCGGGCAUACUGGCAAACUCCUAAAAUCUCAGUCUCGCAAGAGUCUGAGGCUGUAAGAAAAUAAUUCUUUGAUAAAACAGUACAUCUGGUAAUCUGAGCAAUGUAGUUGAGGAUAGCAAUAUGUAAUGUAGCAACCACUGUUGAUUUGUAUUAUUUUGUCUUGAGACUCUGUAUCACUUUGAAUGUUCUUGCUUUGAUUUGUUUAUGUUUGUGAUACUGGUAUGCUGCUACUGUUCUAUUUCUUUCUUUGUUUCUCAUGUACUACUCUUUUUAAAAUAAAAAAAAUUAAAAAAUAAAAGAGUCUGAGGCUGGAGUAGUAUAGGUUUUAGGUCAGCAUGGGGGACUAUGCAAGUUUCUAUCCGAAAAGUACAAAGGCUGGUGGUGUAGUUCGAGGUUCCCUCAGUACCUGGGUACAAUCUCCAUACUAGAAAAGAAUUUCAGUUGAUUGAAGGGUCACUGAAGCCACAGAGGACUUGGCUCCUAUUCCGGUUUGGAAUACUGAGAAGGACACCAUGGUCUGAAACUAAGUCAGUGCAGUACUGCAGGGAGCAGAGAAGUAUGGUCUGGUGGACAGAACUGCUUUGGCGUCCUUGAGUCUCCCUUGGUUCUCUUUAUUUAUGAGAUACCUCGAGUUUCUCUGGUGUUCUAGAUCCAGGAAUCCUGAAGGGAAGUGAGGAUCUGAAGGAAUGCCAUGGUCAGAGUGGGGAUGACCCAUAGGAAAGAAUGUCUGAGAGGAAGACUAAGUCUAAAGCUUAUGGUGAACAGGGAAGACACUCGGGAUAGAUAUGUGAGGCCAACAAGACUGCACAGGUGCGGCCCAGCCAGAGAAAGUAUCACUGAGCUUCAACCAGUUGCAGAAGGAAGCUAACAGCCUAACAAUUCGGAGCAGAAUGGUGUUUUGUGGCGCUCACCUUGUGAGUGAGCAGAACUAGCAGGUAAAUUUCUCUUUUAAUUUUUCCUUCUGAAAGGUACCUGACUGAAUACUGUUAGAAGUAA
Molecule: long non-coding RNA, 1050 nt
Filed under: Chinchilla lanigera (long-tailed chinchilla)
Lineage: Eukaryota; Metazoa; Chordata; Mammalia; Rodentia; Chinchillidae
Description: lncRNA (ENSCLAG00000024595.1)
Source: RNAcentral